GCUCCUAUAGUUUAGUGGUAAAACGCAGCAAUGGUAAUGCUGAAAUUCAAGUUCGAUUCUUGGUAGGAGCACCA
This 74-nucleotide transfer RNA is filed under the name Tenericutes bacterium 4572_104. RNAcentral describes it as "tRNA-Thr". It matches the Rfam family "tRNA". From Rfam's summary of the family: Transfer RNA (tRNA) molecules are approximately 80 nucleotides in length. Their secondary structure includes four short double-helical elements and three loops (D, anti-codon, and T loops). Lineage: Bacteria; Bacillati; Mycoplasmatota. The record is from RNAcentral.